Molecule: ribosomal RNA, 253 nt
Filed under: uncultured bacterium
Lineage: Bacteria
Description: partial 16S ribosomal RNA
Rfam family: Bacterial small subunit ribosomal RNA
Source: RNAcentral
UACGUAGGGUGCGAGCGUUAAUCGGAAUUACUGGGCGUAAAGCGUGCGCAGGCGGUUCGUUGUGUCUGUGGUGAAAGCCCCGGGCUUAACCUGGGAAUGGCCAUGGAAACUGGCGAGCUGGAGUGUGGCAGAGGGGGGUGGAAUUCCGCGUGUAGCAGUGAAAUGCGUAGAGAUCCGGAGGAACACCGAAGGCGAAGGCAGUGUCCUGGCUGGUGACUGACGCUGAGGUGCGAAAGCUAGGGGAGCGAACGGG